AAGAUUAAAAAGCAUAUAUUAUUUAUAAAAUCAAAAGAUUUUUGCGGUAUUCUAAGCUUUUUAGAGGAAUUUGCUCUGUAAUUGAUAUAACACCAAUAUCUUACUUAGAUUGGUUAGGCAGUUUGUAUAUCGCUAUUUUAAAAUUAUAUUGACUGAUUAUGAUUAGGAUAGAAUUUAUCAAGAAUAUUAGGUCAAGAUGCAAUAUAUAUUUAAGGUUGAAGUGAGUUAUGAUAAUUUUUAUUGGUGGAAAUGAAAUUGAUUUUUAAGAUUUAAAAGUAAAAUAAUAUUAUAAUGUUUAUUUGAAUUAAGCUCUAGAAUAUGUACAUAUCGCCCGUCGCUCUCAGUUGUGAGAUAAGUCGUAACAUAG
RNAcentral lists this ribosomal RNA (367 nucleotides) under Argas brevipes. RNAcentral describes it as "partial 12S ribosomal RNA". Lineage: Eukaryota; Metazoa; Arthropoda; Arachnida; Ixodida; Argasidae. The record is from RNAcentral.